Molecule: long non-coding RNA, 510 nt
Filed under: Glycine max (soybean)
Lineage: Eukaryota; Viridiplantae; Streptophyta; Magnoliopsida; Fabales; Fabaceae
Description: long non-coding RNA (GMAX_LNC000756)
Source: RNAcentral
GGGUUUGGAACAUGGCCACUGCUUUUGUGGGCUUGAUGACGCCUCCGUGCUCGUUGGAGAGGCCCACCCAACCCUCCGGGAUGUCGAUGCGGCCGGAGAAUUUGUCGGCGAGCUCUUGGCGGCCGAGGAGUUUGAAGGGGAUUUGGAGGUUGCGGCAGUAGUCGAUGAGGGCGCGCAUGGCGGGCUCGUUGUGAUGGGCCAUGUCCAUGUGAUGGGCCUUGAAGUAGAUCUGGUAGCCGACUUGGGCCUGCGCCUCUUGCCAGAGGCGGUAAGAGUCCAUGACUAAAGGGUAGUAGUAGUGGUGGGGAUAGGUGAGGCGGAUGGUGCGGGAUUCGCCGUGGGAGGAGCCACAGUGGUGGAGGAAGUCGAACUGUUCCAGGAGAAGGGUUUUAAGGCCGCGUUUGGUGGCGUGGUAGGCGGUGGAGCUGCCCAUGACGCCAGCUCCGAUGAUAAUCACGUCGAACUCUGAAUUGGACUCCAUAAGUCACACACACUCUCAGACACUUUCAC